GACGAACGCUGGCGGCGUGCCUAAUACAUGCAAGUAGAACGCUGAAGGAGGAGCUUGCUUCUCCGGAUGAGUUGCGAACGGGUGAGUAACGCGUAGGUAACCUGCCUGGUAGCGGGGGAUAACUAUUGGAAACGAUAGCUAAUACCGCAUAAGAGUAGAUGUUGCAUGACAUUUGCUUAAAAGGUGCAAUUGCAUCACUACCAGAUGGACCUGCGUUGUAUUAGCUAGUUGGUGAGGUAACGGCUCACCAAGGCGACGAUACAUAGCCGACCUGAGAGGGUGAUCGGCCACACUGGGACUGAGACACGGCCCAGACUCCUACGGGAGGCAGCAGUAGGGAAUCUUCGGCAAUGGACGGAAGUCUGACCGAGCAACGCCGCGUGAGUGAAGAAGGUUUUCGGAUCGUAAAGCUCUGUUGUAAGAGAAGAACGAGUGUGAGAGUGGAAAGUUCACACUGUGACGGUAUCUUACCAGAAAGAGGCGGCUAACUACGUG
Molecule: ribosomal RNA, 495 nt
Filed under: uncultured bacterium
Lineage: Bacteria
Description: partial 16S ribosomal RNA
Rfam family: Bacterial small subunit ribosomal RNA
Source: RNAcentral